UACGUAGGGGGCAAGCGUUAUCCGGAUUUACUGGGUGUAAAGGGAGCGUAGACGGCAGCGCAAGUCUGGAGUGAAAUGCCGGGGCCCAACCCCGGAACUGCUUUGGAAACUGUGCGGCUCGAGUGCAGGAGAGGUAAGCGGAAUUCCUAGUGUAGCGGUGAAAUGCGUAGAUAUUAGGAGGAACACCAGUGGCGAAGGCGGCUUACUGGACUGUAACUGACGUUGAGGCUCGAAAGCGUGGGGAGCAAACAGG
Molecule: ribosomal RNA, 253 nt
Filed under: uncultured bacterium
Lineage: Bacteria
Description: partial 16S ribosomal RNA
Rfam family: Bacterial small subunit ribosomal RNA
Source: RNAcentral